UUCUUAUCCAGAGAGGUGGAGGGUCUGGCCCUAUGAAGCCCGGCAACCGUCAUGAGUCAUGUGACAAGGUGCCAAUUCCUGCGAGACAGUGCGUCUCGAUAGAUAAGAA
RNAcentral lists this non-coding RNA (109 nucleotides) under Brevibacillus choshinensis. RNAcentral's name for it is "SAM-I sequence". It matches the Rfam family "SAM riboswitch aptamer (S box leader)". Rfam says of the family: The SAM riboswitch is found upstream of a number of genes which code for proteins involved in methionine or cysteine biosynthesis in Gram-positive bacteria. The SAM riboswitch acts at the level of transcription termination control. The predicted structure consists of a complex stem-loop region followed by a single stem loop terminator region. Lineage: Bacteria; Bacillati; Bacillota; Bacilli; Caryophanales; Paenibacillaceae. The record is from RNAcentral.